AAUUUUGGACAAUGGGCGCAAGUCCGAUCCAGCCACGCCGCGUGAGUGAAGAAGGCCUUCGGGUUGUAAAGCUCUUUCGGGCGGAAAGAAAUCGGGCAGGCUAAUACCCUGCACGGAUGACGGUCCCGACAUUACAAACACCGGCUAACUACGUGCCAGCACCCGCGGUAACACGUAGGGUUCGAGAGUUAAGCGGAAUUACUGGGCGUAAAGCGUGCGCAGGCGGUUGAUUAAGACAGGCGUGAAAUCCCCGGGCUUAACCUGGGAACUGCGCUUGUGACUGGUCAGCUAGAGUACGGCAGAGGGGGGUGGAAUUCCACGUGUAGCAGUGAAAUGCGUAGAGAUGUGGAGGAACACCGAUGGCGAAGGCAGCCCCCUGGGCCGAUACUGACGCUCAUGCACGAAAGCGUGGGUAGCAAACAGG
This 424-nucleotide ribosomal RNA is filed under the name uncultured bacterium. RNAcentral's name for it is "partial 16S ribosomal RNA". It matches the Rfam family "Bacterial small subunit ribosomal RNA", at positions 360 to 776 of the family's 1533-position model. The record is from RNAcentral.